Molecule: ribosomal RNA, 253 nt
Filed under: uncultured bacterium
Lineage: Bacteria
Description: partial 16S ribosomal RNA
Rfam family: Bacterial small subunit ribosomal RNA
Source: RNAcentral
UACGUAGGUGGCAAGCGUUAUCCGGAUUUAUUGGGCGUAAAGGGAACGCAGGCGGUCUUUUAAGUCUGAUGUGAAAGCCUUCGGCUUAACCGGAGUAGUGCAUUGGAAACUGGGAGACUUGAGUGCAGAAGAGGAGAGUGGAACUCCAUGUGUAGCGGUGGAAUGCGUAGAUAUAUGGAAGAACACCAGUGGCGAAAGCGGCUCUCUGGUCUGUAACUGACGCUGAGGUUCGAAAGCGUGGGUAGCAAACAGG